RNAcentral lists this ribosomal RNA (490 nucleotides) under uncultured bacterium. RNAcentral's name for it is "partial 16S ribosomal RNA". It matches the Rfam family "Bacterial small subunit ribosomal RNA", at positions 30 to 507 of the family's 1533-position model. The record is from RNAcentral.
AUUGAACGCUGGCGGCAGGCCUAACACAUGCCAGUCGAACGGUAACAGGGAGAGACUUGCUUCUUUCCUGAGGCGUGGCGGGCGCGUGAGUGAUGUCCGUGAGACUGCCUGUUGGCGGGGGAUAUCUAGUGGAAACGGUAACGAUAACAGCAUAUAGUCGCUAGACGAGAAAGGGGGGGAUUUUGGCAUCUUGCCCGCGUGUAUGCCCAGAUGGGAUUAGCUAGUGGGUGGGGUAACGGCUCACCUAGGCGACGAUCCCUAGCUGGUCUGAGAGGAUGACCAGCCACACUGGAACUGAGACACGGUCCAGACUCCUACGGGAGGCAGCAGUGGGGAAUAUUGGACAAUGGGCGCAAGCCUGAUGCAGCCAUGCCGCGUGUAUGAAGAAGGCCUUCGGGUUGUAAAGCCCUUUUGUUGGGGAAGAAGAGCAGCAGGUUAAUACCUCGCUGUAUUGACGGUACCCGAAGAAGAAGCACCGGCUAACUUCGUG